CCUACGGGAGGCAGCAGUGGGGAAUAUUGCGCAAUGGGCGAAAGCCUGACGCAGCGACGCCGCGUGAGGGAUGAAGGUCUUCGGAUCGUAAAACUCUGUCAGCAGGGAAGAACGGUCACUGUGCUAAUCAGCAGUGAAUUGACGGUAUCUGCAAAGGAAGCCCCGGCUAACUCCGUGCCCGCAGCCGCGGUAAUACGGAGGGUGCGAGCGUUAAUCGGAAUUAUUGGGCGUAAAGCGAUCGUAGGCGGUAGGUCAGGUCUAGUGUGAAAGCCCCGUGCUCAACGCGGGAACUGCCUUUGAAACUGGCAGACUUGAGUGUGGGAGAGGAUAGUGGAAUUCCAGGUGUAGGAGUGAAAUGCGUAGAUAUCUGGAAGAACAUCAGUGGCGAAGGCGACUAUCUGGCACAUAACUGACGCUGAGGAGCGAAAGCGUGGGUAGCAAACAGGAUUAGAUACCCGUGUAGUC
Molecule: ribosomal RNA, 465 nt
Filed under: uncultured bacterium
Lineage: Bacteria
Description: partial 16S ribosomal RNA
Rfam family: Bacterial small subunit ribosomal RNA
Source: RNAcentral